This 1108-nucleotide ribosomal RNA is filed under the name hot springs metagenome. RNAcentral's name for it is "bacterial SSU rRNA". It matches the Rfam family "Bacterial small subunit ribosomal RNA", at positions 8 to 1094 of the family's 1533-position model. The record is from RNAcentral.
AGAGUUUGAUCCUGGCUCAGCGCGAACGCUGGCGGCGUGCCUAACACAUGCAAGUCGUGCGGAGGUGCCUUUUGGCACCUCAGCGGCAAACGGGUGAGUAACACGUGAGUAACCUGCCCUCAGGAAGGGGAUAACCCUCCGAAAGGGGGGCUAAUACCCUAUAAUGUCAGUCACCACUAAGGUGGCUGACCAAAGGUGGCCUCUGCUCUGCAUGCUACCGCCUGAGGAGGGGCUCGCGGCCCAUCAGGUAGUUGGUGGGGUAACGGCCUACCAAGCCUAUGACGGGUAGCCGGCCUGAGAGGGUGUCCGGCCACAGUGGGACUGAGACACGGCCCACACCCCUACGGGGGGCAGCAGUGGGGAAUCGUGGGCAAUGGGCGAAAGCCUGACCCCGCGACGCCGCGUGGAGGAAGAAGCCCUUCGGGGUGUAAACUCCUGUCGGGGGGGAAGAUGCUCACAGAGGUGAAUAAUCUCUGUGGGUGACGGUACCCCCAGAGGAAGGGACGGCUAACUACGUGCCAGCAGCCGCGGUAAUACGUAGGUCCCGAGCGUUGCGCGAAUUCACUGGGCGUAAAGCGUCCGCAGCCGGAUGGGUAAGCGGUUCGUCAAAGCCCACCGCUCAACGGUGGAAAGGCGUACCGAACUGCCCAUCUUGAGGCACGCUCAGGCAGGCGGAAUUCCCGGUGUAGCGGUGAAAUGCGUAGAUAUCGGGAGGAACACCGAAGGCGAAGGCAGCCUGCUGGGGCUGUUCUGACGGUCAGGGACGAAAGCUGGGGGAGCAAACCGGAUUAGAUACCCGGGUAGUCCCAGCCGUAAACCAUGGGCGCUAGACGUCGUCCGUAAGGGCGGUGUCUCAGCUAACGCGUUAAGCGCCCCGCCUGGGGAGUACGGGCGCAAGCCUGAAACUCAAAGGAAUUGGCGGGGGCCCGCACAACCGGUGGAGCGUCUGGUUCAAUUCGAUGCUAACCGAAAAACCUUACCCGGGCUUGACAUGAUGGGAAACCUCUGCGAAAGCGGAGGGUGCCGUCCUCUGGACGGAAUCCCAUCACAGGUGGUGCAUGGCCGUCGUCAGCUCGUGUCGUGAGAUGUUGGGUUAAGUCCCGCAACG